RNAcentral lists this ribosomal RNA (448 nucleotides) under Aplocheilus panchax (blue panchax). RNAcentral describes it as "partial 16S ribosomal RNA". It matches the Rfam family "Bacterial large subunit ribosomal RNA", at positions 1969 to 2567 of the family's 2925-position model. Lineage: Eukaryota; Metazoa; Chordata; Actinopteri; Cyprinodontiformes; Aplocheilidae. The record is from RNAcentral.
UUGUCUUUUAAAUGGAGACCUGUAUGAAUGGCAUAACGAGGGCUAAACUGUCUCCUUCUUCCAGUCAAUGAAAUUGAUCUCCCCGUGCAGAAGCGGGGAUAUGCCCAUAAGACGAGAAGACCCUAUGGAGCUUAAAACGAAAGAGCAGACCAUGUUAAUACACCUUAACUAAGAGACCAAACUAAUUGAAACCUGCUCUAGUGUUUUCGGUUGGGGCGACCACGGAGCACAAUAAAACCCCCGUGCGGAACAAAUGUACCACAUUUUAAAUCAAGAGCAACAGCUCUAAAUAACAGAACUUCUGACCCACAAGAUCCGGCUAGACCGAUCAACGAACCAAGUUACCCUAGGGAUAACAGCGCAAUCCCCUUCUAGAGCCCACAUCGACAAGGGGGUUUACGACCUCGAUGUUGGAAUCAGGACAUCCUAAUGGUGUAGCCGCCUAUUA